Molecule: long non-coding RNA, 1328 nt
Organism: Phyllopteryx taeniolatus (common seadragon)
Lineage: Eukaryota; Metazoa; Chordata; Actinopteri; Syngnathiformes; Syngnathidae
Exons: 4
Source: RefSeq, a predicted model, not a curated record
UGUGGUCGCAUUCUCACGGUGAAAGUAUCGCGGGAAGCGUAUCGAGAGACGUAUCGUGUCGCGUCGGCGAUGGAGAAGCACAUCCCAAUCGUGUGUGUGCGUGGACUUGCGCGUGUGCGAGUUGUACUCCCGCCACGGAGAUCAAGCGGAGAUUCCCAAGUAGAUAAUCCUAAUUGGACAGCGUGAGAGCGGCCAUAAUCCUGUAAAGGGAAAAACGGCUGCCAACAACGUGUUGCAUUUAGCGAUCAUGUGGCUUAGCCGUCUCGCGUCGCACUCACCGCAAUUGACUGCGACUGGACGCACACGCGCGAAUGGGAGCAUGUUGGAUACCUCACUGAUGCUAUCUGACCUUGUCUACAAAAAUUAAAAAAAAUUAAAAAUCACAUUUCUAAACACAUUUUGUAGAGAAAUAAAAUAAUAUAUUGCAUUAUAUUAGCAGUUAAUAUUUGCGUGUGCCAAGCUAAGUGAAGGUUUCAUCAAUAGGAGCGGUCGUCCGGCCGAUUCUAUCAACACCACGUACGAUGACAUAUCGACGUUUUUAUAUUUAUAAUAAUAAUGGUACGACCUUGGGAGUAACCUUUCAGUCCAGGUGCACCACGCGUCCUUGUUUGUGUUCUUCAUAAACAAGUUCAAUAACAUCAGCAUAAAAACAAUGUUAGUUUAAUCCUUUUGUAAAAAUAAUAAUAAUAAUAAAAAAAGGUCAGAGGACAUUAUUACGUAAUAUUAAUCCCUCAAGUAACAAACAUGAAGUUUAUUCGUUUUCUUAAGAGGCUGCAGUUUCGGUUGACCACCGCUAGAUGUCAGUACGGCGGCGUUUAGCACAUGACGUCCCAACAACCUUUGACAUUAGCAUGCUGCUAAAUUGCUGCCGGAUUGAACCCCGGUCCCCACAACUGUGAGGCAGAUGUGCUAACCAGUCGGUCACCGUCCCACCCAACUUUUUUCAGACCUCCGUGGCCAAGACCCUCGCACGCAUGAAUGUCCGACAUCAGCAGAAGACGCUUGACAGCAAAGCGAACGCACGAACAAGCAGGCGAGGCGGGGCAAGUGUGAGAAACAGCACACUCUAGUGGACACUUGCAGCAACGAGUUUCUCGGACCACGACUUGGCAGCCCAGCUCGCUGGAGAUCCGGAGCCAUUUUGAAAUGACUACACGAUGUGAAAGACUAACCAUGUCAAAGCCAAAAGACACGAGCGGCACGAGCGGCGGCGACGGCGGCGAGAUUCCGUGAACGGUGCUGCAAAGGAGGAAGCACAAAGAACACAUUUUUCAUGAACAGGUUCACUCAUUUGGAAGGCUUUCUUCAAAUCUCGUGUUAAAUGAAGA